Molecule: ribosomal RNA, 462 nt
Filed under: uncultured bacterium
Lineage: Bacteria
Description: partial 16S ribosomal RNA
Rfam family: Bacterial small subunit ribosomal RNA
Source: RNAcentral
GACGAACGCUGGCGGCGUGCUUAACACAUGCAAGUCGAGCGGUAAGGCCUUUCGUGGGACACGAGCGGCGAACGGGUGCGGAACACUUGGGUGAUCUUCCCUGCACUUCGGGAUAAGGCUGGCAAACUGGGUCUAGUACUGAUUAUGACCUCGAACCGCAUGUUCGGUGGGGGGAUGAUUAAUCGGUGGAGGAUGGGCGCGCGGCCUAUCAGCUUGUGGUUGGGGUAGUGGCCUACCAAGGCCACGACGGGUAGCCGACCUGAGAGGGUGACCGGCCACACUGGGACUGAGACACGGCCCAGACUCCUACGGGAGGCAGCAGUGGGGAAUAUUGCACAAUGGGCGGAAGCCUGAUGCAGCGACGCCGCGUGAGGGAUGACGGCCUUCGGGUUGUAAACCUCUUUCACCAGUGACGAAGCGGAAGUGACGGUAACUGCAAAAGAAGCACCGGCUAACUACGUG